AGAGUUUGAUCCUGGCUCAGGACGAACGCUGGCGGCGUGCUUAACACAUGCAAGUCGAACGAUGAAGCCUAGCUUGCUGGGUGGAUUAGUGGCGAACGGGUGAGUAACACGUGAGUAACCUGCCCUUGACUCUGGGAUAAGCACUGGAAACGGUGUCUAAUACCGGAUAUUUCAACCGUCCGCAUGGUCUGGUUGUGGAAAGAAUUUUGGUCAAGGAUGGACUCGCGGCCUAUCAGGUAGUUGGUGAGGUAAUGGCUCACCAAGCCUACGACGGGUAGCCGGCCUGAGAGGGUGACCGGCCACACUGGGACUGAGACACGGCCCAGACUCCUACGGGAGGCAGCAGUGGGGAAUAUUGCACAAUGGGCGAAAGCCUGAUGCAGCAACGCCGCGUGAGGGACGACGGCCUUCGGGUUGUAAACCUCUUUUAGUAGGGAAGAAGCGAAAGUGACGGUACCUGCAG
RNAcentral lists this ribosomal RNA (463 nucleotides) under uncultured bacterium. Its description in RNAcentral is "bacterial SSU rRNA". It matches the Rfam family "Bacterial small subunit ribosomal RNA", at positions 8 to 484 of the family's 1533-position model. The record is from RNAcentral.